GCCGAGGUGGCGGAAUUGGUAGACGCGCAUGGUUCAGGUCCAUGUAGGGGAAACCCUGUGGAGGUUCAAGUCCUCUCCUCGGCACCA
This 87-nucleotide transfer RNA is filed under the name Candidatus Nitrosoglobus terrae. Its description in RNAcentral is "tRNA-Leu". It matches the Rfam family "tRNA". From Rfam's summary of the family: Transfer RNA (tRNA) molecules are approximately 80 nucleotides in length. Their secondary structure includes four short double-helical elements and three loops (D, anti-codon, and T loops). The record is from RNAcentral. Lineage: Bacteria; Pseudomonadati; Pseudomonadota; Gammaproteobacteria; Chromatiales; Chromatiaceae.